This 500-nucleotide ribosomal RNA is filed under the name uncultured bacterium. Its description in RNAcentral is "partial 16S ribosomal RNA". It matches the Rfam family "Bacterial small subunit ribosomal RNA", at positions 29 to 523 of the family's 1533-position model. The record is from RNAcentral.
AUUGAACGCUGGCGGCAUGCCUUACACAUGCAAGUCGAACGGCAGCACGGGAGCAAUCCUGGUGGCGAGUGGCGCACGGGUGAGUAAUAUAUCGGAACGUGCUCAGUCGUGGGGGAUAACGUAGCGAAAGCUACGCUAAUACCGCAUAAGAACCAUGGAUGAAAGCGGGGGAUGGCAAGACCUCGUGCGAUUGGGGCGGCUGAUAUCAGAUUAGCGAGUGGGUGGGGUAAAAGCCCACCAAGGCGACGAUCUGUAGCUGGUUUGAGAGGACGACCAGCCACACUGGAACUGAGACACGGUCAAGACUCCUACGGGAGGCAGCAGUGGGGAAUUUGGGACAAUGGGCGAAAGCCUGAUCCAGCAAUGCCGCGUGCAGGACGAAGGCCUUCGGGUUGUAAGCUGCUUUUGUACGGAGCGAAACGGUCCUCUCUAAUACAGGGGGCUAAUGACGGUACCGUAAGAAUAAGCACCGGCUAACUACGUGCCAGCAGCCGCCGUAA